AGAGUUUGAUCAUGGCUCAGGAUGAACGCUAGCGGCAGGCUUAAUACAUGCAAGUCGAGGGGCAGCACAGGUAGCAAUACUGGGUGGCGACCGGCAAACGGGUGCGGAACACGUACGCAACCUUCCUUUAAGCGGGGAAUAGCCCAGGGAAACUUGGAUUAAUACCCCAUAAGAUUAUGGUGUGGCAUCACACAGUAAUUAAAGCUACGGCACUUAAAGAUGGGCGUGCGGCUGAUUAGGUAGUUGGCGGGGUAACGGCCCACCAAGCCUACGAUCAGUAACUGGUGUGAGAGCACGACCAGUCACACGGGCACUGAGACACGGGCCCGACUCCUACGGGAGGCAGCAGUAAGGAAUAUUGGUCAAUGGACGCAAGUCUGAACCAGCCAUGCCGCGUGGAGGAUGAAGGCCCUCUGGGUUGUAAACUUCUUUUAUCUGGGAAGAAACCCAUCUUUUCUAAGGUGGUUGACGGUACCAGUUGAAUAAGCACCGGCUAACUCCGUGCCAGCAGCCGCGGUAAUACGGAGGGUGCAAGCGUUAUCCGGAUUCACUGGGUUUAAAGGGUGCGUAGGUGGGCAGGUAAGUCAGUGGUGAAAUCUCCGGGCUUAACCCGGAAACUGCCGUUGAUACUAUCUGUCUUGAAUGUAGUGGAGGUGAGCGGAAUAUGUCAUGUGGCGGUGAAAUGCUUAGAUAUGACAUAGAACACCCAUUGCGAAGGCAGCUCGCUACACUAUUAUUGACACUGAGGCACGAAAGCGUGGGGAUCAAACAGGAUUAGAUACCCUAGUAGUCC
Molecule: ribosomal RNA, 793 nt
Filed under: uncultured bacterium
Lineage: Bacteria
Description: bacterial SSU rRNA
Rfam family: Bacterial small subunit ribosomal RNA
Source: RNAcentral